Molecule: ribosomal RNA, 455 nt
Filed under: uncultured bacterium
Lineage: Bacteria
Description: bacterial SSU rRNA
Rfam family: Bacterial small subunit ribosomal RNA
Source: RNAcentral
GAUGAACGCUGGCGGCGCGCCUAACACAUGCAAGUCGAACGGACGAUGAAAAGCUUGCUUUUCAAAGUUAGUGGCGGACGGGUGAGUAACGCGUGGGUAACCUGCCUCAUACAGGGGAAUAGCAGCUGGAAACGGCUGAUAAAACCGCAUAAGCGCACAGUGCCGCAUGGCACAGUGUGAAAAACUCCGGUGGUAUGAGAUGGACCCGCGUCUGAUUAGCUGGUUGGUGGGGUAACGGCCCACCAAGGCGACGAUCAGUAGCCGGCCUGAGAGGGUGAUCGGCCACAUUGGGACUGAGACACGGCCCAAACUCCUACGGGAGGCAGCAGUGGGGAAUAUUGCACAAUGGGGGGAACCCUGAUGCAGCGACGCCGCGUGAAGGAAGAAGUAUCUCGGUAUGUAAACUUCUAUCAGCAGGGAAGAUAAUGACGGUACCUGACUAAGAAGCCCCGGCU